This 493-nucleotide ribosomal RNA is filed under the name uncultured bacterium. RNAcentral's name for it is "partial 16S ribosomal RNA". It matches the Rfam family "Bacterial small subunit ribosomal RNA", at positions 29 to 507 of the family's 1533-position model. The record is from RNAcentral.
ACGCACGCUGGCGGCGUGCUUAACACAUGCCAGUCGAACGGAAAGGCCUGCUUUCCCUUGUGGAUUGCGGGUACUCGAGUGGCGAACGGGUGAGUAACACGUGAGUGAUCUGCCCCCAACUUGGGUAUAAGCCUGGGAAACUGGGGCUAAUUCCCGAUAGGACUGCAGGGUGGUGCCUGUGGUGGAAAACGAUUUUCUAGUGGUUGGGGAUGAGCUCGCGGCCUAUCAGCUUGUUGGUGGGGUAAUGGCCUACCAAGGCGGCGACGGGUAGCCGGCCUGAGAGGGUGGACGGCCACAUUGGGACUGAGAUACGGCCCAGACUCCUACGGGAGGCAGCAGUGGGGAAUAUUGCACAAGGGGCGGAAGCCUGAUGCAGCGACGCCGCGGGGGGGAUGACGGCCUUCGGGUUGUAAACUCCUUUCGACCGCGAGGAAGCCACCUGGUUGGAAGGGUGGUGACGGUAGUGGUAGAAGAAGCACCGGCUAACUACGUG